GAAUGGUGGAUGCCUUGACUGGUAAAGGCGAUGAAGGACGUACUAGACUGCGAUAAGCUACGGGGAGUUGUCAAGAAGCUUUGAUCCGUAGAUUUCCGAAUGGGGCAACCCAAUGUAUAGAGAUAUACAUUACCUAUAUAGGAGCGAACGAGGGGAAUUGAAACAUCUUAGUACCCUCAGGAAAAGAAAUCAAUAGAGAUUGCGUCAGUAGCGGCGAGCGAAAGCGCAAGAGGGCAAACCCAGUGCUUGCACUGGGGGUUGUAGGACUGCAAUGUGCAAGAGCUGAGUUUAGCAGAACAUUCUGGAAAGUAUAGCCAUAGAGGGUGAUAGUCCCGUAUGCGAAAAACAAAGCUUAGCUAGCAGUAUCCUGAGUAGGGCGGGACACGAGGAAUCCUGUCUGAAUCCGGGUCGACCACGAUCCAACCCUAAAUACUAAUACCAGAUCGAUAGUGCACAAGUACCGUGAGGGAAAGGUGAAAAGAACUGAGGUGAUCAGAGUGAAAUAGAACCUGAAACCAUUUGCUUACAAUCAUUCAGAGCACUAUGUAGCAAUACAGUGUGAUGGACUGCCUUUUGCAUAAUGAGCCUGCGAGUUGUGGUGUCUGGCAAGGUUAAGCAAACGCGAAGCCGUAGCGAAAGCGAGUCUGAAUAGGGCGCUUAGUCAGAUGCUGCAGACCCGAAACGAAGUGAUCUAUCCAUGAGCAAGUUGAAGCUAGUGUAAGAACUAGUGGAGGACUGAACCCAUAGGCGUUGAAAAGCCCCGGGAUGACUUGUGGAUAGGGGUGAAAGGCCAAUCAAACUUCGUGAUAGCUGGUUCUCUCCGAAAUAUAUUUAGGUAUAGCGUUGUGUCGUAAUAUAAGGGGGUAGAGCACUGAAUGGGCUAGGGCAUACACCAAUGUACCAAACCCUAUCAAACUCCGAAUACCUUAUAUGUAAUCACAGCAGUCAGGCGGCGAGUGAUAAAAUCCGUCGUCAAGAGGGAAACAACCCAGACUACCAGCUAAGGUCCCUAAAUCUUACUUAAGUGGAAAACGAUGUGAAGUUACUUAAACAACCAGGAGGUUGGCUUAGAAGCAGCCAUCCUUUAAAGAAAGCGUAAUAGCUCACUGGUCUAGUGAUUUUGCGCGGAAAAUAUAACGGGGCUAAAGUAAGUACCGAAGCUGUAGACUUGCACACAACUUAGAUUAUUUAAGUUUAGAAUAUAAAAAAACUAAGUUAUAUGUUUUAAGUUAUAUUUUUACUGAUUUUUAUAGAGUAAAGAUAGAAAUAAAGCUUAGUAAAAUCAGUAAAAAUAUUCUUGGUUUAAAGUUUAAGUAGUUUAAGUUGUGUGCAAGUGGUAGGAGAGCGUUCUAUUUGCGUCGAAGGUAUACCGGUAAGGAGUGCUGGAGCGAAUAGAAGUGAGCAUGCAGGCAUGAGUAGCGAUAAUUAAUGUGAGAAUCAUUAACGCCGUAAACCCAAGGUUUCCUACGCGAUGCUCGUCAUCGUAGGGUUAGUCGGGUCCUAAGUCGAGUCCGAAAGGGGUAGACGAUGGCAAAUUGGUUAAUAUUCCAAUACCAACAUUAGUGUGCGAUGGAAGGACGCUUAGGGCUAAGGGGGCUAGCGGAUGGAAGUGCUAGUCUAAGGUCGUAGGAGGUUAUACAGGCAAAUCCGUAUAACAAUACUCCGAGAACUGAAAGGCUUUUUGAAGUCUUCGGAUGGAUAGAAGAACCCCUGAUGCCGUCGAGCCAAGAAAAGUUUCUAAGUUUAGCUAAUGUUGCCCGUACCGUAAACCGACACAGGUGGGUGGGAUGAGUAUUCUAAGGCGCGUGGAAGAACUCUCUUUAAGGAACUCUGCAAAAUAGCACCGUAUCUUCGGUAUAAGGUGUGGUUAGCUUUGUAUUAGGAUUUACUCCGAAAGCAAGGAAACUUACAACAAAGAGUCCCUCCCGACUGUUUACCAAAAACACAGCACUCUGCUAACUCGUAAGAGGAUGUAUAGGGUGUGACGCCUGCCCGGUGCUCGAAGGUUAAUUGAUGGGGUUAGCAUUAGCGAAGCUCUUGAUCGAAGCCCGAGUAAACGGCGGCCGUAACUAUAACGGUCCUAAGGUAGCGAAAUUCCUUGUCGGUUAAAUACCGACCUGCAUGAAUGGCGUAACGAGAUGGGAGCUGUCUCAAAGAGGGAUCCAGUGAAAUUGUAGUGGAGGUGAAAAUUCCUCCUACCCGCGGCAAGACGGAAAGACCCCGUGGACCUUUACUACAGCUUGACACUGCUACUUGGAUAAGAAUGUGCAGGAUAGGUGGGAGGCUUUGAGUAUAUGACGCCAGUUGUAUAUGAGCCGUUGUUGAGAUACCACUCUUUCUUAUUUGGGUAGCUAACCAGCUUGAGUUAUCCUCAAGUGGGACAAUGUCUGGUGGGUAGUUUGACUGGGGCGGUCGCCUCCCAAAUAAUAACGGAGGCUUACAAAGGUUGGCUCAGAACGGUUGGAAAUCGUUCGUAGAGUAUAAAGGUAUAAGCCAGCUUAACUGCAAGACAUACAAGUCAAGCAGAGACGAAAGUCGGUCUUAGUGAUCCGGUGGUUCUGUGUGGAAGGGCCAUCGCUCAAAGGAUAAAAGGUACCCCGGGGAUAACAGGCUGAUCUCCCCCAAGAGCUCACAUCGACGGGGAGGUUUGGCACCUCGAUGUCGGCUCAUCGCAUCCUGGGGCUGGAGCAGGUCCCAAGGGUAUGGCUGUUCGCCAUUUAAAGCGGUACGCGAGCUGGGUUCAGAACGUCGUGAGACAGUUCGGUCCCUAUCUGCCGUGGGCGUAAGAAGAUUGAAGAGAUUUGACCCUAGUACGAGAGGACCGGGUUGAACAAACCACUGGUGUAGCUGUUGUUCUGCCAAGAGCAUCGCAGCGUAGCUAAGUUUGGAAAGGAUAAACGCUGAAAGCAUCUAAGCGUGAAGCCAACUCUAAGAUGAAUCUUCUCUAAGCUCUCUAGAAGACUACUAGUUUGAUAGGCUGGGUGUGUAAUGGAUGAAAGUCCUUUAGCUGACCAGUACUAAUAGAGCGUUUGGCUUAUCUUUAAUAAAGCAU
RNAcentral lists this ribosomal RNA (3052 nucleotides) under Campylobacter jejuni. RNAcentral describes it as "partial 23S ribosomal RNA". It matches the Rfam family "Bacterial large subunit ribosomal RNA". The record is from RNAcentral. Lineage: Bacteria; Pseudomonadati; Campylobacterota; Epsilonproteobacteria; Campylobacterales; Campylobacteraceae.